UACGGAGGGUGCGAACGUUAAUCGGAAUUACUGGGCGUAAAGGGCGCGUAGGCGGCGUGUUAAGUCACUUGUGAAAUCUCUAAGCUUAACUUAGAACGGUCAAGUGAUACUGAUGUGCUAGAGUGCAGAAGGGGCAACCGGAAUUCUUGGUGUAGCGGUGAAAUGCGUAGAUAUCAAGAGGAACACCUGAGGUGAAGACGGGUUGCUGGGCUGACACUGACGCUGAGGCGCGAAAGCUAGGGUAGCAAACGGG
RNAcentral lists this ribosomal RNA (253 nucleotides) under uncultured bacterium. Its description in RNAcentral is "partial 16S ribosomal RNA". It matches the Rfam family "Bacterial small subunit ribosomal RNA", at positions 524 to 776 of the family's 1533-position model. The record is from RNAcentral.